GACGAACGCUGGCGGCGUGCUUAAUACAUGCAAGUCGCACGGAACGGCCCUGAUUUUGUGGGGUGCUCGAGUGGCGAACGGGUGUGUAACACGUGAGUAUCCUGCCCUUGAAUUUGGGAUAACUUCAGGGAACAGGGGCUACAACCGGCUAGAAGAUCUUGAUGCGCGUUGGUGCUUGGAAAGUUACGGUGGUUGGGGAUGGACUCGCGGCUUAACAGCUUACUAGUGGUGGAGUGGCUUACCAAGGUUUUGACGGUUAGCCGGCCUGAGAGGUUGACCGGCCGCAUAAGUACUAAGAGACGGCACAGAAGGCUACGGGACGCAGCAGUGGUGAAUGUUACACAAUGGAGGGAAGCCUGAAGCAGCGACGUCGGGAGCGGGAAGACAGCCUUCUGGUUGAAAACCACUUUCGCCAGUAACGAAUUGGGAGUGACGGUAACGGGUAAGUAAGCACCGGCUAACUACGGG
This 468-nucleotide ribosomal RNA is filed under the name uncultured bacterium. RNAcentral describes it as "partial 16S ribosomal RNA". It matches the Rfam family "Bacterial small subunit ribosomal RNA", at positions 28 to 507 of the family's 1533-position model. The record is from RNAcentral.